RNAcentral lists this ribosomal RNA (2843 nucleotides) under Roseihalotalea indica. RNAcentral's name for it is "23S ribosomal RNA". It matches the Rfam family "Bacterial large subunit ribosomal RNA". The record is from RNAcentral. Lineage: Bacteria; Pseudomonadati; Bacteroidota; Cytophagia; Cytophagales; Catalimonadaceae.
AAGAAAGUAAGCAAGGGCGUAUGGGGGAUGCCUAGGCUCUCAGAGGCGAUGAAGGACGUGAUAAGCUGCGAAAAGCGGCGGGGAGUGGCAAAUACAUGCUGAUCCGCCGGUGUCCGAAUGGGGCAACCCAAUUAGUUGAAGACUAAUUACCCGACUUGUCGGGGGCAAACCCGGGGAACUGAAACAUCUAAGUACCCGGAGGAAGAGAAAAUAAUCAAUGAUUCCCGUAGUAGUGGCGAGCGAGGCGGGAAGAGCCCAAACCCAGUAGGUUACGGCCUGCUGGGGGUUGUAGGACUGGCAUAAUCAACAAGCCAUGAACAAGAACCGGUCUGGAAAGUCCGGCCAUAGAGGGUGAAAGUCCCGUAUUGGUAGUGUAAUGUUGAGGCUAGUAUCCUGAGUAGGGCGGGACCGGAGAAAUCCCGUCUGAAUCUGCCGGCACCAUCCGGUAAGGCUAAAUACUCCUGAGAGACCGAUAGUGAACCAGUACCGUGAGGGAAAGGUGAAAAGUACCGGGAAUACCGGGGUGAAAUAGAACCUGAAACCAUACGCUUACAAGCGGUCGGAGCCCUUUUGUGGGGUGACGGCGUGCCUUUUGCAUAAUGAGCCUACGAGUUAUGAUCACUGGCAAGGCAAAGUGACUAGAGUCAAGUAGCCGAAGCGAAAGCGAGUCUGAAUAGGGCGACUAAGUCAGUGGUUGUAGACGCGAAACCUGGUGAUCUACCCAUGGUCAGGUUGAAGCCGCGGUAACACGAGGUGGAGGACCGAACCAGUAAACGUUGAAAAGUUUUUGGAUGAACUGUGGGUAGGGGUGAAAGGCCAAUCAAACCAGGAAAUAGCUCGUACUCCCCGAAAUGCUUUUAGGAGCAGCGUUUUAGGAUGUCUUACUGAGGUAGAGCUACCAAUAGGACUAGGGGGUGUCACAACCUACCAAAUCCUGAUGAACUCCGAAUGCGGUAAGAUUACUAAGGCAGUGAGGGUUUGGGUGCUAAGGUCCAAAUCCAAAAGGGAAAGAACCCAGACCAUCCGCUAAGGUCCCUAAAUAUAGACUAAGUUGAACUAAGGCGGUUUCGUUGCAAUGACAGCCAGGAUGUUAGCUUGGAAGCAGCUAUUCAUUUAAAGAGUGCGUAACAGCUCACUGGUCGAGCGACGGGGCAUCGAUAAUAAACGGGCAUUAAGUCUAUUACCGAAGCGAUGGAUUGUAUGAUUAAGUUCAUACAGUGGUAGGGGAGCAUUCCAGCGAGACUGAAGCCUGGUGGUAAUGCCGGGUGGACUUUCUGGAAAAGCAAAUGUAGGCAUAAGUAACGAUAAGGCGGGUGAGAAACCCGCCCACCAAAAGACUAAGGUUUCCUGAUCAACGCUAAUCGGAUCAGGGUUAGUCGGGUCCUAAGGCGAACCCGAACGGGGUAGUUAAUGGACAACAGGUUAAUAUUCCUGUACUGGCUGGUAUUGCCAAAUGGGGACGGAGUAGCCAAGCAGCUACGGGCUGACGGAAUAGCCCGUUGAGCCUAGCCUUCGGGCGAAGCGAAGUUGUGCGGUGGCUUCCAAGAAAAGCCAUUGAAGCAUCAGAUACUAGCCACCCGUACCGUAAACCGACACAGGUAGUCGGGUAGAAUAUACUAAGGUGCUCGAGUGAGACGUGGCUAAGGAACUAGGCAAAAUAGUCCUGUAACUUCGGGAGAAGGGACGCUUCCUCAGCUAGUUUACUAGCAUGAGAAGCCGCAGUGAAUAGGCCCAGGCGACUGUUUAACAAAAACACAGGGCUUUGCAAAGUUGAAAGACGACGUAUAAGGCCUGACACCUGCCCGGUGCUGGAAGGUUAAGGGGGGAUGUUAGGGGUAACCCAAAGCAUUGAACCGAAGCCCCAGUAAACGGCGGCCGUAACUAUAACGGUCCUAAGGUAGCGAAAUUCCUUGUCGGGUAAGUUCCGACCUGCACGAAUGGUGCAACGAUCUGGGCACUGUCUCGGCCACGCGCUCGGUGAAAUUGUAGUAUCGGUGAAGAUGCCGAUUACCCGCCACGGGACGGAAAGACCCCAUGAACCUUUACUAUAGCUUCCCAUUGACAUUGGGUAAACGAUGUGUAGGAUAGGCGGGAGACUAGGAAGCGGCGUCGCUAGGCGUUGUGGAGUCGCCCUUGAAAUACCGCCCUUCGUUUAUCUAGUGCCUAACUGGCUGUGCCAGGACAGUGGGUGGUGGGUAGUUUGACUGGGGUGGUCGCCUCCUAAAAGGUAACGGAGGCUUCCCAAGGUUCCCUCAACACCGUUGGUAAUGGUGUGUGGAGUGCAAUAGCAUAAGGGAGCUUGACUGUGAGACCAACAAGUCGAUCAGGGACGAAAGUCGGGUAUAGUGAUCCGGUGGUUCCGCAUGGAAGGGCCAUCGCUCAAAGGAUAAAAGGUACUCUGGGGAUAACAGGCUGAUCUCCCCCAAGAGCUCACAUCGACGGGGAGGUUUGGCACCUCGAUGUCGGCUCGUCACAUCCUGGGGCUGGAGAAGGUCCCAAGGGUUGGGCUGUUCGCCCAUUAAAGUGGCACGCGAGCUGGGUUCAGAACGUCGUGAGACAGUUCGGUCCCUAUCUGUGGUGGGCGUAGGAAGCUUGACAGGAUCUGACUUUAGUACGAGAGGACCGAGUUGGACGAACCGCUGGUGUAUCGGUUGUGCCGCCAGGCGCACCGCCGAGUAGCUAUGUUCGGAACGGAUAAGCGCUGAAAGCAUCUAAGCGCGAAACCAGCCUGAAGAUGAGGCUUCCCUUGAGGGUCGUUCUAGACGAGGACGUAGAUAGGCGGCAGGUCUACAGCCAGAAAUGGUAGAGCUGAGCCGUACUAAUGACCCGAACGGCUUUUUUUC